AUUGAACGCUGGCGGCAUGCUUUACACAUGCAAGUCGAACGGUAACAGGCCGCAAGGUGCUGACGAGUGGCGCACGGGUGCGUAAUGCAUCGGAACGUGCCCAGUCGUGGGGGUUAACUACUCGAAAGAGUAGCUAAUACCGCAUACGAUCUAUGGAUGAAAGCGGGGGACCGUAAGGCCUCGCGCGAUUGGAGCGGCCGAUGUCAGAUUAGGUAGUUGGUGGGGUAAAGGCUCACCAAGCCAACGAUCUGUAGCUGGUCUGAGAGGACGACCAGCCACACUGGGACUGAGACACGGCCCAGACUCCUACGGGAGGCAGCAGUGGGGAAUUUUGGACAAUGGGCGCAAGCCUGAUCCAGCAAUGCCGCGUGCAGGAAGAAGGCCUUCGGGUUGUAAACUGCUUUUGUACGGAACGAAACGGCUCUGGUUAAUACCCGGGGCUAAUGACGGUACCGUAAGAAUAAGCACCGGCUAACUACGUG
RNAcentral lists this ribosomal RNA (482 nucleotides) under uncultured bacterium. RNAcentral's name for it is "partial 16S ribosomal RNA". It matches the Rfam family "Bacterial small subunit ribosomal RNA", at positions 30 to 507 of the family's 1533-position model. The record is from RNAcentral.